Molecule: long non-coding RNA, 1297 nt
Filed under: Homo sapiens (human)
Lineage: Eukaryota; Metazoa; Chordata; Mammalia; Primates; Hominidae
Description: HSALNT0157126
Source: RNAcentral
GGCACAGGGGCUCUGCGGCUGCAGGCCUGGUUGGUCACCCCGUCUGCAUCUGCUGGAUACCCACCCCCUCCAGAGACGGGGCUCACUGCCGCCACGGCAGGUCCCCAGGGGCGAGGUCUUCCGGCCCCACCGGUGGCACCUGAAGCACUUGGAGCCCGUGGAUUUCCUGGGCAAGGCCAAGGUGGUGGCCUCUGCCAUCCCCGACGACCAGGGCUGGGGCGUCCGCCCUCAGCAGCCACAGGGACCAGGAGCGAACCAUGAUGCCAGGUCCCUAAUCAUGGACUCCCCAAGAGCUGGCACCCACCAGGGCCCCCUCGAUGCAGAGACAGAGGUCGGUGCUGACCGCUGCACGUCGACUGCCUACCAGGAGCAGAGGCCCCAGGUGGAGCAAGUUGGCAAACAGGCUCCUCUCUCCCCAGGGCUGCCGGCAAUGGGGGGGCCUGGCCCCGGCCCCUGUGAGGACCCCGCGGGUGCUGGGGUAAGAGGCUCUAGACCCUUCACCUGUCAGUCACCUGAGGGAGGCUGAGGCCAAGCCCCAUCCCUCAGAAUCAAGGCUUGCAAGCCCCCCUCACCUGCCCAGUCUCUGUCCACACCCCUCGGGCUGAAGACGGCCCUGACCAGGCCCUGGGCCUCAGCGACCACCCCUCCCCCUCCUGCCUGGACCCAGGGAGCAGGUGCAGGGGGCUCCGAGCCCCUGGUGACUGUCACCGUGCAGUGCGCCUUCACAGUGGCCCUGAGGGCACGAAGAGGAGCCGACCUGUCCAGCCUGCGGGCACUGCUGGGCCAAGCCCUCCCUCACCAGGCCCAGCUUGGGCAACUCAGGUGGGCCAGAAAGCCCCCGGUGGCUGCGGUGGAGCUGGGCACCGCCCCGACUGAGGCAGCUGCUGGAAGAGGGGGUGGCAGAGGUCACUGCCCUCCCUGCAGGCCCCACCCAGGAGGCCCCCUCUGAGGAAUCUCUUUGCAGUUACCUAGCCCCAGGUGAGGACGGGCACUGGGUCCCCAUCCCCGAGGAGGAGUCGCUGCAGAGGGCCUGGCAGGACGCAGCUGCCUGCCCCAGGGGGCUGCAGCUGCAGUGCAGGGGAGCCGGGGGUCGGCCGGUCCUCUACCAGGUGGUGGCCCAGCACAGCUACUCCGCCCAGGGGCCAGAGGACCUGGGCUUCCGACAGGGGGACACGGUGGACGUCCUGUGUGAAGUGGACCAGGCAUGGCUGGAGGGCCACUGUGACGGCCGCAUCGGCAUCUUCCCCAAGUGCUUCGUGGUCCCCGCCGGCCCUCGGAUGUCAGGAGCCCCCGGCCG